RNAcentral lists this long non-coding RNA (1122 nucleotides) under Equus caballus (horse). Its description in RNAcentral is "lncRNA (ENSECAG00000060350.1)". The record is from RNAcentral. Lineage: Eukaryota; Metazoa; Chordata; Mammalia; Perissodactyla; Equidae.
CAAGGAGGAAAGCAGCUUAAGAAUUAAGCCCACCGUUGGUGGGGAUGUAAAAUGGUGUAGCAGCAAUGGAAAAGUCCGGUGGUUCCUCAAAAAAUUAAAGAUACAAUUACCAUAUGAUCCAGCAACUCCAUCUCUAGUUAUGAUCUAAGUCAUCCCCGCUGCCAUAUUGUACUUGAAAGAAGACAUUACCAUCAGCUUCCAGAAAACCAACCAGGGGAGCUUCCAGUCCAGCACCUUCCUCUCCAUCAGCCAUCCCAGUGACUUCAUCCAACCCCACGUGUGCACGAAAGAGUUGAUUCAGCAGGUCUGGGAUCUUCAAACCCUGCACAUUCCAAAGAAAGUUCUGGCCCUUGCCUGUCUCAUAGAAGACAACCUCUAAGCUCUUAGAAUAUCCUGCUGGUGUACCUCAGAGAUGUUGCAAGUUCGGUUCCAGACAACCACAAUAGAGUGAAUAUUGCAAUAAAGCACCUUAAAUGAUGCUGGUUUGGUGUGCUUUGGAGUGUGAAAUUAAUCAAGAGAGCAACGAAAAUAUCUCAGUCUUUCUGGAGGACAUUGCUGAGUAUGAUUGUACAGGAUCUUCUAAUUGCCUCCAAACAACUAAGAGCUAAGCAGCGAUUGUGUUUUCCCAACUAUCUGCAACCAUUGUACCCACUGAAUUGGACAACCACAGCCUGUGGCCACUGGUGCUAUAAGAAUCACCCAUGUUAGACAUCAGAGAUUUCCUGGUCCUGGUAAAAAAGCUCUUCCACCUUCCUGUCAUAACAGUCACUCGUUUGGGGCUGGGGACUGAGAAUGGUUUGCUGGCUGAGGCUCCCCAAGCACUGGAGAGAUCCAGGUGUCAGGCUCUUUCUGAGGACGACCUGUUUUGGCACAGACACUUUAGUCCUCCAGAGGUGUUCUCUUUGUCUGCACGCAUCCUGGGGGCCCACGCAGACACAGCAGUCAGGCCUCUGGAGCUGGCCCGGGAAGUCCCAGCCGGGCACUGCAGAGCAGACAGAAGCCGGAGUUAGUGAUGACCCAGGACGAAUUCUAGGGAGGAACAGGAUGUGAGCAUUUUUGUUUUAAAUUUCCUUAUCACUAUUUUCCUAUUGUCACCUUAAUGGUAGCUUUUUUAAAGUUUUU